RNAcentral lists this non-coding RNA (26 nucleotides) under Homo sapiens (human). The record is from RNAcentral. Lineage: Eukaryota; Metazoa; Chordata; Mammalia; Primates; Hominidae.
CAGGAGCUGGUGUGUACUGGAGACAC